This 331-nucleotide ribosomal RNA is filed under the name uncultured bacterium. Its description in RNAcentral is "bacterial SSU rRNA". It matches the Rfam family "Bacterial small subunit ribosomal RNA", at positions 568 to 898 of the family's 1533-position model. The record is from RNAcentral.
CGCGCAGGCGGCCGACGUAGUCAGGCGUGAAAGCCCCGGGCUUAACCUGGGAAUAGCGUUUGAUACUCGUUGGCUGGAGUUCGGGAGAGGAUGGUGGAAUUCCCAGUGUAGAGGUGAAAUUCGUAGAUAUUGGGAAGAACACCGGUGGCGAAGGCGGCCAUCUGGACCGAAACUGACGCUGAGGCGCGAAAGCGUGGGGAGCAAACAGGAUUAGAUACCCUGGUAGUCCACGCCGUAAACGAUGUGUGCUAGACGUUGGCGGACCUAGUCCGCCAGUGUCGCAGCUAACGCGUUAAGCACACCGCCUGGGGAGUACGGCCGCAAGGUUAAA